Long non-coding RNA from Symphalangus syndactylus (siamang), 975 nucleotides. RefSeq lists it as uncharacterized. The record is from RefSeq and is a predicted model, not a curated record. Lineage: Eukaryota; Metazoa; Chordata; Mammalia; Primates; Hylobatidae.
UUCUCUUCCUCCUCUGCGGGCUCAGCGGGCACCAGCAAUGCAGUCCUCAAACACGGACGUUGGAGUGAUUAUUCCCACCCCAAGAGUGAACACCUACUAUGUGCUGGACCCUAGACCAAACACACAACACACAUAAAGAUACACAACACACACACACGUACACACACACACACCCCAACAGGCAUGACCUCAUUAGAGAUCUCUGAUCAUUUCAACAAGCAGUUACUCUGGGCCAGACGCGGCCCACUACAGAGAUAGACAAGACCUGUGGUCUCCUUCCUUAGCGCCAGAAUCUCCUAGAAGGCUCUAGUUCCUCUUCAGCUCCAGCCCUAAACUCUGAAUUCAUUCUCGCUCUGGAGCUCCCAUGUCAGCGAAGCCAUGCCUUCAACCUUUCCAUGGGCCCCUAUUUUGUGGCUCAGUGUCCCUGAGCUCUGAGUAUCUCCAUUCACAAGCUCUAGACAAGGGAAGGCUCUGAGCAAAGUCACGGAGCUGCCGGGCAGCCUGAGCGUCUGGAAAUGCUACGGGAAAUGCACAGGGUGUUGAGCAGCUGCACACAUCACUCCUUCCUCGUGAGGUCCCCUUGGCCCUUUACCUCCAGCUGAGUAAGUCAAAGGAGGACAUAUGAUCAAACCAGGCAGUCCACCGGCUGACCUCUGACCUACAGCCUAGAACAAAAAGAGGACCUGGGCCAAUCCAAUUAUCUCUCAGGAAUGCAAAAGGAGGUAGGAAACGAACAGGCAAUUGGCCGCAGAAGCCAAAGCACAGAGGAUGCUCUGAGAAACACAAAGGCCACAAGAGGUCUUGACAAACCAAACUUCGAUGCAAAUUGGUCUAUAAACUUCUUAAGUCUCUUUGCCUGUACAGUUUGCCCCUCCCUCUCUGAUACUGUGUCCUUAUCUGCAGAAGGAACUGAGUUUCCCACGGUCUGGACUGCACUGAUUACAUCUUCAUAGUGUCCUUUAGCAAGUGCCUCUG